UGAAGAACGCAGCGAUAGAAGCUGUUCCAAUGAUCACCAUAAUCACAAGAUAGAAAUCAGAAGAAAAUUGUGGAGAAAUGAAUGUACGAAUACUUAAAAACCCCAAACUCAACUAGGUUCAAAAGGGAAGUUCGAGGUUUCUACAACAAUGUUAAAGCUAGUAUCUUUUUUCUACUUAGUUCCAGGAAGAACAUAUAGUAAUGAUUUAAGGCAUAUUGCUGAUAGAGCUAACCUGAAGAAAUAAUGAGUGCUUGAG
Long non-coding RNA from Arabidopsis thaliana (thale cress), 256 nucleotides. RefSeq annotates it as other RNA. NCBI's taxonomy places the organism in Eukaryota, Viridiplantae, Streptophyta, Magnoliopsida, Brassicales, Brassicaceae. The transcript has a single exon. The record is from RefSeq.